UUAUACUUAUACAAAUAGACUCCCACACAGUUCUGGCAUCAAAUCAGCUUAAUGGCAGCAAAAAAGUGGAAGGGCCAGGAGCAAAAAAAAAUCAACUGACUAUCGACAAACUAUCAUCAAUUUGGCAUGCAAAUCACUUGCUCUGCCCAUUGCUCAAGGCUCUUUUUCUGCCCACUUGGUGCUCUUCUCUGGAAAAUAUCCUUUUGCCGUUCGUGCCAUGCGGGUUCCUUUGUGCACCAGCAUUUAAAAGUGCAGUAGACAUAGCACAAAACCAUUAAAAAGAUAGUUUUGGCCCAAAAAAAGUUCAAGGAUCCACGCAGCAAUAAUGCUUACUACCAACUAUGAUUUUAAGCUAAGUUUUGUACAUUUUAUUUAAAGCCCUUUAAUAGCACAUUUUUUUUUCUUGAAAAAGUCAUAAAUACGACUUUAUUUUGUUGACACCAAUUUCUUUUUAUGAUCUACAAAGAACUCCUUAUUUAUUUGCACGUUGACUGCAAAAAUUGAGUAAAUAAUCUACUGCUUUUUAUUCAGAAAAAUCAAUCCCUUUAUUUAUUACGUUUAUAAUUUUGAAUAAUGAAUUCUCAAUAAAAAGUUAAAUAAGUUCCUUUUUUUUAUUUUAGCCAUAUAAAUGUUCCGGAUUUUAUCAGCAUUUUAAUAAAAAUAACCCCAUUUAUGUUCUGUGCUACUUCUUUUGGUAUAUUUUUGUCAAACAUUUUAACUUUUUUUGUUGAAUAAAUACGUACAGCAAAGAGAAAAACGAUAAAAUGUCUGAAAUACAAGCAAAUAUAUUUGGUAUCGUAGCUGUUUGGUGAAAUACAUUUUUGUAUAUUCUCUGCUUUCAUUUCUGGGUCCAAAAGUCCAGUGUGUGGGGUUUUUUCACUCAGAUCAAAUAUUGUAGUUGACAAUUAUCCGGCACCUGAGCAGGUAUGAACGGUCGGCGAGCACUCAAUAAUCGUUCAAUAACCGACGGCGUAUACGCAAUUUGUGUUGCUGCAUGCGUGUAAUUGCUCAAGACGAUAAAGGAUGUCGUCAUCACCACACAGAAGCCUCGGGCAGAGGAAACGACAGCAAAAAGCGGAAACGGAAGCUGGGCCGUCACUUCACCAUUUUUUCUUUGUUAUGUCCACAUAUUCCUGCUGGUGACUUUUGUGUCGCCACUAAGCGGCUUAGGAGCCUCUGAAUACCCUCGGAAGCCCUCGGAAACCCUAGUCCAAGGAUUCGCUUUAAUAUGGGCUCAAGGAGAUGCAUUUAAUUUACCAAAAGAGACAUAGAAGCGCUGCAAGUGCAUUUUUAUUUGACUUAUUCUGUCCUUUAUUGAUUUUAGCUUUUUCAUUCACCAUUCAACAAUUGUAUAAACACUUUUUGUCAGUUUUUUAAAGUCUGCGGAUGAUACUUAAAUCAUAAAGGUUUUAAAAUUAGAAAUAAAAUAUAGUGUUGCACA
This is a long non-coding RNA of Drosophila elegans, 1441 nucleotides long. RefSeq lists it as uncharacterized. NCBI's taxonomy places the organism in Eukaryota, Metazoa, Arthropoda, Insecta, Diptera, Drosophilidae. The transcript has 2 exons. The record is from RefSeq and is a predicted model, not a curated record.